GUACGCCGCCACCCACUCCUGCCGACGCCAUCGAGAAUGCGUCUCGCCUGCUUACAGGGAUUUGCGACGACGUUCGAAACUGGACACGCAGUCUCGACAUGCGAAGAGCCUCUUUCACAUUCCACUCGAUCGAUCAAAGCAGGUUGGACGUUGAGGCAGCGGGGAUCGAGUGUUUUUCAGAUCCGUUCUCGUCUUGUUUUGCUGUGAAACGCACCUCCGAAGAGAGACCAGUGUCGCCGUGCUUGUGGCGGACCUGGAGAACGGGAAGAAAGAAAGACACAGGGUCCUUCUCAUGUUAAAACCUGCCUCGAGACUGGUGAAAAGGCUGGGGAAAGGUGAGGAAUUGACGUCGACGCUUGCGCAGGCAGUUUAGGGAGGGAGGGAUGAUUGAGCUGUCUCCCGAGUACGCGACAGAUCCUCUCGGCUGGCACCGUGUUUCGCUCCUCGUUCAAUGGUCUCUGUGCCGCUCUGUCUGUCACCCUUUCAGAAACUCCCCGCCGUAAGCGUUUGGUGGCGACGAGACGUCGCGCGAGCUUGGUGUUGCGCGGGAUUUUCGACAACUGGAAUUGUCGCUGCGUUCACGGAAAAGAUGCAGGAAAGAAAACGGCAGCGGUGAAGAGAAUCGCGAGUGUUAUAACCAGCCAGAGGGAGAAAGACAGUUCCAUUUUGUCACUCUUAGAUUCCAAGAACGUCUGCGUGCCUGCGGCUGCUCGUGCACUCCAG
RNAcentral lists this long non-coding RNA (723 nucleotides) under Toxoplasma gondii VEG. Lineage: Eukaryota; Apicomplexa; Conoidasida; Eucoccidiorida; Sarcocystidae. The record is from RNAcentral.